Molecule: ribosomal RNA, 490 nt
Filed under: uncultured bacterium
Lineage: Bacteria
Description: partial 16S ribosomal RNA
Rfam family: Bacterial small subunit ribosomal RNA
Source: RNAcentral
GAUGAACGCUGGCUACAGGCUUAACACAUGCAAGUCGAGGGGAAACGCUGAGAGAGCUUGCUCUCUUAGGCGUCGACCGGCGCACGGGUGAGUAACGCGUAUCCAACCUACCCUUUACAGGGGGAUAACCUUGCGAAAGUAAGACUAAUACCCCAUGGCCUUUUAUGAUGGCGUCAUUAUAGGAUUAAAGUUUUAUUGGUAAUGGAUGGGGUUGCGUCUGAUUGGCUUGUGGGCGGAGGAACGGCCCACCAAGGCAACGAACAGUAGGGGUUCUGAGAGGAAGGUACCCCACAAUGGAACUGAGACACGGUCCAAAAUCCGACGGGAGGGAGCAGUGAGGAAGAUUGGGCAAGGGGCGAGGGCUUGAACCAGCCAAGUAGCGUGCAGGAGGACGGCCCUAGGGGUGGUAAACUGCUUUUAUAGAAGAAUAGAGUGAGCUACGUGUAGUUUAUUGCAGGUACCCUAUGAAUAAGGACCGGCUAACUCCGUG